AAAAGAUUCAAACCUCUUUGGGUAAAACCAAAGUUCAACCACUUGUCUACCGCAAAACGUAUGCUUCGGCAGCUGGCAUUGGGGCUUCUCAACGCCGUCAGCCUGCCGGCAGCACCAUUCAAACCAUUUUUUACAUGUGUCUGAACAUAUUAUUUUCGAAUGAAAAUUA
This 169-nucleotide unclassified non-coding RNA is filed under the name uncultured fungus. Its description in RNAcentral is "sequence contains ITS1, 5.8S rRNA gene". Lineage: Eukaryota; Fungi. The record is from RNAcentral.